RNAcentral lists this ribosomal RNA (305 nucleotides) under uncultured bacterium. Its description in RNAcentral is "partial 16S ribosomal RNA". It matches the Rfam family "Bacterial small subunit ribosomal RNA", at positions 505 to 808 of the family's 1533-position model. The record is from RNAcentral.
ACAGCAGUAGCCACGGUAAUACGGGGGGGGCAAGUGUUAUUCGGAAUGACUGGGCGUAAAGGGCACGUAGGCGGUGAAAAGGGUGGAAAGUGAAAGUCGCCAAAACACUGGCGGGGUGCUUUCUUGACCAUUUCACUUGAGUGAGAUAGGGGAGAGUGGAAUUUCGUGUGGAGGGAUCAAAUCCUAAGAUAUACGAAGGAACGCCAACCGCGAAGGCAGCUCUCUGGGUCCCCACUGACGCUGGGGUGCGAAAGCAUGGGGAGCAAACAGGAUCAGAUACCCCAGUAGUCCCUGUCUCUUAUACA